GACGAACGCUGGCGGCGUGCUUAACACAUGCAAGUCGAACGGAAAGGCCCUGCUUUUGUGGGGUGCUCGAGUGGCGAACGGGUGAGUAACACGUGAGUAACCUGCCCUUGACUUUGGGAAAACUUCAGGAAACUGGGGCUAAUACCGGAUAGGAGCUCCUGCUGCAUGGUGGGGGUUGGAAAGUUUCGGCGGUUGGGGAUGGACUCGCGGCUUACCAGCUUGUUGGUGGGGUAGUGGCUUACCAAGGCUUUGACGGGUAGCCGGCCUGAGAGGGUGACCGGCCACAUUGGGACUGAGAUACGGCCCAGACUCCUACGGGAGGCAGCAGUGGGGAAUAUUGCACAAUGGGCGGAAGCCUGAUGCAGCAACGCCGCGUGCGGGAUGACGGCCUUCGGGUUGUAAACCGCUUUCGCCUGUGACGAAGCGUGAGUGACGGUAAUGGGUAAAGAAGCACCGGCUAACUACGUG
This 468-nucleotide ribosomal RNA is filed under the name uncultured bacterium. RNAcentral describes it as "partial 16S ribosomal RNA". It matches the Rfam family "Bacterial small subunit ribosomal RNA", at positions 28 to 507 of the family's 1533-position model. The record is from RNAcentral.